This is a long non-coding RNA of Drosophila obscura, 797 nucleotides long. RefSeq lists it as uncharacterized. NCBI's taxonomy places the organism in Eukaryota, Metazoa, Arthropoda, Insecta, Diptera, Drosophilidae. The record is from RefSeq and is a predicted model, not a curated record. The transcript has 2 exons.
UUCAUACAUAUGCAUCUGUAUGUUCACAUGCAUAUAAAUGCUUUUAAAAUAGAGAGAAAUACAUAUCUAAAUAGAUAUUUAGUUGGCGUAAGAGCAAGUAUUUUAUGAUUAAAUUUGUUUUGAAGGAGCAGAAAGCCGCAACCAACAGCAACACUACAUAUAUGCACAAGUAUGAGCAUAGACAUAUGAAUAUGAGACAAAAAUAUACAUAUGUGUGUAUGUUCAUACACACACAUAAAUAUCACAAGUAUUACCAAGCACAACAAAAAUAAAAUAAGAGACAGUAUACAAUUUGAGGCUAUGUCAAUGUUUACAGUUCGAGUCGUGGGUAAACUCGGCACUAGGAAAUAAAAUAUAUAGUUUUGCACAUACAUAUAUACAUACGUACAUCUUUUCACUUAAUAUCAAGGAUGUAGCAAUGAAAAACAGCUACAUAUCAUAUUGAUCAUCUAUGUAUAAUGAAUGUAAAUACCAUUUGCAUUUAUUAAAAAUAAACAAAUUCAUACCUGGAUGCAAGGAGUUUUAAGUUUUGCGUUGAGUUUAUGCAAGAUUGCUGGCGUUUAGUUUGUAGAAAGAUAAAGUGACGCUUUGUGUUGGCUGAUGCAGACCUCCCCUACGUGCUGUGGUAUGGUAUCCUGUGCGCGUGAGCUAGCGUCAAGGAAGUACUUUUGUUUAACAAACUUGCUACACAAUCUGAAGCACUCACAUACACAAAAAAAAAACCUUAUGUAUUGAUUUUUCACAAUAACUAAACCAGCACGUCACAUAAAUAAAAUUUUUUUAAUGUGUUCAAGUUA